RNAcentral lists this ribosomal RNA (376 nucleotides) under uncultured bacterium. RNAcentral's name for it is "bacterial SSU rRNA". It matches the Rfam family "Bacterial small subunit ribosomal RNA", at positions 524 to 898 of the family's 1533-position model. The record is from RNAcentral.
UACGGAGGGUGCGAGCGUUGUCCGGAAUCACUGGGCGUAAAGGGCGCGUAGGUGGCUGGGGAAGUCGGCGGUGAAAGCCCGGAGCUCAACUCCGGGUCGGCCGUCGAGACUCCUCGGCUCGAGCUCACUAGAGGCAGAUGGAAUUCCGGGUGUAGCGGUGGAAUGCGUAGAGAUCCGGAAGAACACCGGUGGCGAAGGCGGUCUGCUGGGGUGAGGCUGACACUGAGGCGCGACAGCGUGGGGAGCAAACAGGAUUAGAUACCCUGGUAGUCCACGCCGUAAACGAUGGGCACUAGGUGCUUGGGGGAGCGACCCCCUGAGUGCCGACGCUAACGCAUUAAGUGCCCCGCCUGGGGAGUACGGCCGCAAGGCUGAA